Molecule: ribosomal RNA, 479 nt
Filed under: uncultured bacterium
Lineage: Bacteria
Description: partial 16S ribosomal RNA
Rfam family: Bacterial small subunit ribosomal RNA
Source: RNAcentral
GAUGAACGCUAGUGGGAGGCCUAACACAUGCAAGCCGAGCGGUAUUUGUUCUUCGGAACAGAGAGAGCGGCGCACGGGUGCGGAACACGUGUGCAACCUGCCUUUAUCUGGGGGAUAGCCUUUCGAAAGGAAGAUUAAUACCCCAUAAUAUAUUGAGUGGCAUCACUUGAUAUUGAAAACUCCGGUGGAUAGAGGUGGGCACGCGCAAGAUUAGAUAGUUGGUGAGGUAACGGCUCACCAAGUCAAUGAUCUUUAGGGGGCCUGAGAGGGUGAUCCCCCACACUGGUACUGAGACACGGACCAGACUCCUACGGGAGGCAGCAGUGAGGAAUAUUGAACAAUGGGUUAGCGCCUGAUCCAGCCAUCCCGCGUGAAGGACGACGGCCCUAUGGGUUGUAAACUUCUUUUGUAUAGGGAUAAACCUACUCUCGUGAGAGUAGCUGAAGGUACUAUACGAAUAAGCACCGGCUAACUCCGUG